RNAcentral lists this long non-coding RNA (4352 nucleotides) under Panax ginseng (ginseng). RNAcentral's name for it is "long non-coding RNA (PGIN_LNC009079)". The record is from RNAcentral. Lineage: Eukaryota; Viridiplantae; Streptophyta; Magnoliopsida; Apiales; Araliaceae.
UAAAAAUAACGAACUAUAAUGCAAAUAACUAACUAUAUGCAAUACGACACUAAAAUGCCCUCAAACUUAAACUAGACAUUGUCCUCAAUGGCUAAAAUAGAAAAAAUUAAAGUAGAGGACUUCCCUGAAAAUAUAGCUAUCUUCCUCCUUGUCCGCUAAGUUUGGAGAAUAGGCUAGGCACAUGGAACAAAUUGGGCACCACACUUGAAUUUGACUUGAAUAACCUGUAAACCAUGAUAGAAACAAUUUUAUUAAAUUCUAAAUAAAUGCAAAUUCAAAACUACUAAUAUAAAACUUAAUAAAAACUAAAAAUAAAAAUUAAACUUGGGUUGCCUCCCAAUAAGCGCUUGUUUUAUAGUCUCAGCCUGACUUCUUCAAUUCUCUAUCCAAUUCCCCUACAAAAAUUGAGGAACCCUCCAUCCAUCAGUAACAAUGUCUCUUUUGGGAGGUUCCCAUUAGUAAUGACCCUUGAAUGAAAGUCACCUAGCAUUGUAACGCCCCAGAAAAUCGAACAUUUUGUAAUUACUUUUAAUAAUGAAUAAAAUAAUAUUAUUUAUUAUUAUUACGUGUUGAGAAGAUGAAUGUAGUUCUAUAACCUAGAAACAUUGGAAUGUCGUAGUAUUUUAACUACGUGAGAGAAUUAAAGUGUUUGGAUUUCUAAGACAAAAAUAAAAGCUUUUCGAGAAAUUUUCCGAAAAAUACUAUUCAUCGAUUUCUGCUCGGGAAUUAUUUUUGAAUUUCUGAGAAAUACGUAACGUUAUAAUAUCAAGGCGAUAUUGAUUAUGUAAUAAUAAUCUAAGUAUGGAAAACGUAAUAUUUCGCAUGUGGACCUAAUUUGGGAACGUUAGGUUUAUUAAGCAUUAAGGAAAUAAAGUUGUGAUCGUAUAAUGUGUAUUCAUUAUAUGAAGGUAAUGGACGUAAGUAUAAUAUGACGUAUUAUACUAUUAAGAAUGGAGAAUGAAAUAACGUAUAUUGUGAAUUAAUAUAUGAGCUAGCAUACGAAGAUUAUACGUGGUGUAUAUAUGUUAAGUUAUGUAAUUUAAGGUAAUGGACUUGUAGGAUUAAUAGCCUAAUAUAGAAGUCUAAUAUAAUGUGACAAUCAAGCCCAAGUGUUUGAUAUAUCAUUAGUCCAAACUAUGUAGCACAAGCCCAUUAAGAAAGUAGUUAGAUUAAUUAUCAAAGCCCAAUGAAAAGCUUUGAUCCAUGGGUCAAACCAAGUAGGAAAUGGGUAAGCUUGAUGGGCAAGGUUUAUGUGUGGUGACCAAGUGAUGUGAUGAGCAAGUAUUGUGGCUAGCAAGUUACUUAAUGGCUAGGUUAUGAAUAGUAAGGAGGUGGGGGAUGAAGAGGUGGAAAUGAGGAGGUGGGAUGGUUUAAAGUCCAUUUUGCCCUAAACUUUGUUGGCCUAUAAAUAACAAGCUCAUUUCAAUUUUGUGGGGUGUUUUAAUUUCAUCCAACUCUUCUCAAAUAUAAGCUACUUAUUUGGUAGAGCAAAUAAGCACUUUUAAGUCAAAGUUAGAUUUUCCAAGAAGAAGAAGUUAGACUUCAAAGGUAAUGAUCUUGUGUCCAAUGUUCUUUCAUCUCUAUUAUGAUAGGAUGAUAAGGGAAGUGUUAUUAAUUAACAUGUAUGCUAAGAUCAUGUAAUAGGUUAAAAAGGAAUGAACUUAAGCUGAAUAAUUUGGAUAAGCAACUUGAACAUUAAUAAGUUGCUAGAACCAUGAUGAACUUAUCAUAUGUUGUCAUAUGAUGAUUAGUAUGUUGAAUAUAACAUAAGAACAUUGAUUAGUGGACUUAAGUUAUUAAUAAGUCAUGAGCAUGAAGAUUUAUAGUUCAUAAGUUGAAUAAGUCAUUAACUUAUGAGAAUAAGUCAAAACCUACUUUGUUUAUAAGUUGGUUUAAUAAGUAACUUGUAAUGAUCUUAUGUUGAUUAAAAUCCAUUUAGAUUCAUUAAGAUUGUAGUUUUACCGGAAUUCACACGAUUGGACGAUAAUCGUCGAAUCCGUGAAAUUCUCGGAAUAGAAGUCGUAUUUUGAGUUUGAAGUCGGAAACAUUGGUUUUCGAUGGAGACAAGUCGUAUUUGGCAUUAUAGAGUUGCGGACUCAAAAAUGACCGAAUUCCGACUUAGAACGAAGAAACGAGCAUUGAACGUCCACGGACGUUUAUCGUUUUCGUUAAAAAUGAACUAAUAGGUCAAAUUUUAUCAAACAAAGUCAAAUAGAUAAAAUUCUUGCAUGAACGCAUAGAGUACGUAAUUUGUGAACCGUAGACUUUUGAACGAGCCAAUUCGGACUUAUAACGAAGAAGUUAUGCGUCCGGGAAGUUCACAAAAUUUAAAAUCUAUAAAAUUUUUCUAAGGCACAGAGUUGGCGCCGCGGCGCCAACCCAAGGCCAAAAGGUGGCGCUGCAGCGCCAUAACAGUGUCGAGGCCUAUUGCUAACUCGCGUCGCGGCGCGAGAUGAAGAGCUAUAGGUGGCACCGCGGUGCCAGUCACAAGAAAUUGCUAGAAAAGAAUGUCUUCAAGUAUAGAAUGAAAGGGGACUUGAUAGUAAUGAAUUAAGAUAUAUGCAUAAAGUUGUUAACACAUUGUAAGACACUAAUGAAUGAACGAAUUAUGAAUGUCGUAAUGAAAGCCAAAAACCCAUAAUAGUAGAUCUAAGUCAGGAUUUACAUUGAGAUGAAGGGUAAGAUAUAAUAGUAUACAUACUUGAUUAUGUAUGACCUAAUGUGGUACGUUAUAUGAUCAUGUGUUGUAGAAACAUAGAAACUUAAAGUGUACAAGUGUUAAUCAGUAAGCAGACGCUAAAAGACAAGUAUUCUAACCCUUGUUCCAGUUUAGUCUGGACAAGUUUUGUAAUUCAUGUAUUCUUUCACAUGAAGUCUUGAAUGAUGAAGUCUUAAAGCCAAUUCUUUCGGCUAGACUUAUAUUAUGAUUCUGUCAAGCAUAAUUUAUGUUUACCGAGUUAUAUUGGUAUGGUUUUCAAUCGAAGACCAAGUAUGCUAAAAAUGUUUUUGUCGUUUAACGACAGGCACGUGAGGUUGCCACAACUUAAACGUAUACACGUUUAAUGAAUGUAGUGUUGAUCAACAUAGAGUACUAUGGGCUGAUCACCCAGAAGUGCUCGUAAGCUAUGCCAGACUUACGGAUGUAGUGCCGGGUUGUCCUUUUCAAAAGAAAUUAUAAACUGCUCAUAGUUCCGAGCCUUAGUUGAUAUUCUACUGAAUAUUGUUGUUGGAAAACGUUUUGAAUGAAAAGAAGUGCUAUUUUGAAUUAUCGAUAGUACUUCGUAACUAUUGUUCAGUUACUGAAGAUAUAUGAGUUCUAUGUUUCAAGCAUGUUGUUUAUUAGAAUUGUAGUACUUGCUGAGCUAGUCAUGCUAACUCUUGCUUGAACCAUAUGAACACAGCUAAGAUCGAGCGGACCGAAGGCUCAGGCAAGGACAAGGGCAAGGCGAAGACGAACCCUUAGAUUGCUUAUGUAAUAGAAUAGUUGAACGAUUUGUAAUAUAUUUGAUAUUAUGAUAAGAACAAACGAAUAGGUUACAAAGAACCUGGGGAAAGUAAUAUUAUUUUGAAUAUAUAGAAGUUAUAUUGGUCCUUUUGAGACUAUUUCAUGGAAUGAAUGAAUGAAUGGUAGUACCGUGUAGCACCAUCUGUCGGGUUGGAAGAUACCCGGAUUUGGGGGCGUCACAAGCAUGCUCUUUGUAGAUAUGUUUCCCAUUAAGAACGUCCAAAAACUAGGUGUUUUCUCCAUUAUGUCGAUGAUCUCCUUUUCUUGGUUCCCAAUUUUUCCCUCUCUUUCAACAUCUUGUGGCUCAUCUAGUUACAGAUUUUGUUCAGGCUCUCCAUCAGUCUCGGAAUCCAUGUUAUGGGCCAAGUGUAUUGAGGACAAAUGUUCGAGGCAUUGAUUGGUUGUUCCAUUUGGUUCGCAAAAUUUUGACUCGAUAUCUCUUGAUUAAUCCUCCUCUCCUCACUUGAAGCUAUGAACUUGGACAAAAUUUCCUCCAAAUUUGAAUGUUCCUCCUGUUGUAGUGGAGGUGGACACGAGAAAUCCGGUGGGUAUAUUGGACUUGGAGCAUAAAAUUGAUCUUGAUGAGUAUGGCUCCAUGAAAAAUCUGGGUGAUACCCCCAAUCCUGAUGAUAGUUGUUGGGAUAGACAUAAUUAUUGGGGUAAUCACCACCAUACUGUACCGGCUCAAAACUGAUGGCGCAUUGAUGACUCAUAUGAUUUUCAGCACAAUAAUCACAAGUAACCACCACACUUUGUCGACGUUGUACUGCAAAAGUGUCUAACCUCCUCGAAAGUGUCUCAGUCUGUGCUGACAAUGCAGAAAGUGUCGUGAGUACAUCAAUCUCUG